Molecule: unclassified non-coding RNA, 294 nt
Filed under: plant metagenome
Description: partial contains small subunit ribosomal RNA, internal transcribed spacer 1, and 5.8S ribosomal RNA
Source: RNAcentral
UUUCCGUAGGUGAACCUGCGGAAGGAUCAUUAUUGAAAUAAACCUGAUGGGUUGCUGCUGACUCUCUCGGGAGCAUGUGCACACUUGUCAUCUUUAUAUCUCCACCUGUGCACCUUUUGUAGAUCUGGAUAUCUUUCUGAAUGCCUGCAUUCAGGUUUGAGGAUUGACUUGUCUUUCCUUACAUUUCCAGGCCUAUGUUUCUUCAUAUACACCAUGUAUGUUAUAGAAUGUAAUGAAAAGGGCCUUUGUGCCUACAAACUUAUACAACUUUCAGCAACGGAUCUCUUGGCUCUC